UGCAUUCACUACUGUAAGUCGCUCUGGAUAAGAGCGUCUGCUAAAUGAAAUAAA
Molecule: non-coding RNA, 54 nt
Organism: Salmo salar (Atlantic salmon)
Lineage: Eukaryota; Metazoa; Chordata; Actinopteri; Salmoniformes; Salmonidae
Source: Rfam